AAAUUUCAUGGGUUUAAAAUCAACAUUUUCAUCAUUCCAACAAUUCAAUCAAAUUUCAUGGGUUUAACAUCAUCAUUUCUAUAAUUCCCACAAUUCAAUGAGAUUUCAUGGGUUUAACAUCAUCAUUUUCAUCAUUCCCACAACUCAAACAAAUUUCAUGGGUUUAACAUCAACAUUUUCAUCAUUCUCAGUAUUCAAUCAAAUUUCAUGGGUUUAACAUCAUCAUUUCUAUAAUUUCCAUAAUUCAAUCAAAUUUCAUGGGUUUAACAUCAACAUUUUCAUCAUUCCCACAACUCAAUCAAAUUUCAUGGGUUUAACAUCAACAUUUUCA
RNAcentral lists this long non-coding RNA (331 nucleotides) under Lathyrus oleraceus (garden pea). RNAcentral's name for it is "Pisum sativum (pea) long non-coding RNA (PSAT_LNC041685)". The record is from RNAcentral. Lineage: Eukaryota; Viridiplantae; Streptophyta; Magnoliopsida; Fabales; Fabaceae.